UCCCUCCGGCACUGUGCGCUCUCCUCCUCUGGCUGCGGGCAGCUCCGGGAUUCGCAACACGGGAUGCUGCUGUAUGCGAAUCCUGGGCAUCUUCUCACCUUCCUCAUCUGUCGGCUUCUCUGCCUAUGCACAUGCCGGGUGCGCACGUUCCCGUCCCCUAGGGCGCACGAGCACUGGCACUCUGCAUCUUAAAGGGCCAGUGCGCCCUUGAUUGGUCUGCUGCUGCCGGACCUUAUGAAUUGCUGCACCUUCCUUUUCCAGCUGCCAGAUCUUUGUGAGCCUCUGAGAAAGCGUUUCCUGUGUAUAGCCUACUGUGUUCCAGACCUCCUUGCUAGUGAACUGACUUUGCUCCUUUGCCGCCUGCCUACUGAGCUUUGCUUUGUCCUGACUACGCCUAUUAUCUUCUGUGCUGAGUUACAUUUGGGCAACCUGUGUGGACGGAUCGUGCCAGGGGUUGCGACCUGGGUGCCGCCUGCUGCAGCAAGACCUUCCCGCUUUGCGGUGGGUUCUGGUGAAAACCAGCGGCACCUUAGACUCCGCUCCCUGGUACUGUUCAAUCCUUAUCCACACAGGUCAGCGGAUCCACUACUCUCAGACGUUGAUAGUAACAUACUGCCUCCCUGCUUGUGCUUCAUGUCCUUAUGAAGCAAGAUUGAAGUGUGAACACAGAAGAUGAUCUGCUAUACUGGACCGGGUGUGAUUUUUAUAUUGCCCACACCUGUUACUUGCCCAAGUUACAUGAUGGGAGAAGUUCUUCACUCACCAGUACAUUCACCUUAUCGGCACUUAACAUAUUUACUGAAUAAAGUAUUACAUUUA
This is a long non-coding RNA of Hyla sarda, 819 nucleotides long. RefSeq lists it as uncharacterized. The transcript has 3 exons. Lineage: Eukaryota; Metazoa; Chordata; Amphibia; Anura; Hylidae. The record is from RefSeq and is a predicted model, not a curated record.